GAUUAACGCUGGCAGAAUGCCUAACACAUGCAAGUCGAACGAACUUUGCUGAUUGAUGAUGGAGAGCUUGCUCAAAGUCUGAUUGAAGCGCUAGUUAGUGGCGAACGGGCGAGUAACGCGUAUUCAAUCUACCUCCGAGUUGAGGAAAACUAUAGAGAUAUAGCUAAUCCUCAAUGGUCUCAUCAAAAUGAAAAUAUGAUGAGUAAAGGCUUGCCGCUUGGAGAAGAGGAUGCGUCCUAUCAGGUAGUUGGCGGGAUAAUAGCCCACCAAGCCUAUGACGGGUAACCGGUCUGAGAGGACGGACGGUCGCAAUGGGACUGAGACACGGCCCAUACCCCUACGGGGGGCAGCAGUGGGGAAUCUUGGACAAUGGACGAAAGUCUGAUCCAGCAAUUCUGCGUGCGGGAUGAAGGUCUAUGGAUCGUAAACCGCUUUUCUGAAGGAAGACGAAUGACGGUACUUCAGGAAUAAGCGACGGCUAACUUCGUG
Molecule: ribosomal RNA, 489 nt
Filed under: uncultured organism
Description: bacterial SSU rRNA
Rfam family: Bacterial small subunit ribosomal RNA
Source: RNAcentral